RNAcentral lists this long non-coding RNA (334 nucleotides) under Carica papaya (papaya). Its description in RNAcentral is "long non-coding RNA (CPAP_LNC000220)". The record is from RNAcentral. Lineage: Eukaryota; Viridiplantae; Streptophyta; Magnoliopsida; Brassicales; Caricaceae.
CUGGGAGAUGGUGGACGGACCAGGUCCGUAGGGAACCCUACCGGGAUUGUGGUCUCACAUGCCGGACGGGGUAUGGAGAUAUUAUGGUUUUGGCACCCAUAUCGGACGGGGUAUGGGGACGGCCCGUUUCACCCUCAUACCGGACGGGGUAUUGAGGUUUAUGGUUUUGGCGCCCAUACCGGACGGGGUAUGGGGACGGCCCGUUUCACCCUCAUACCGGACGGGGUAUUGAGGUUCAUGGUUUUGGCGCCCAUACCGGACGGGGUAUGGGGACGGCCCUGGAAACUGAUUAUGAAUGUUAAAGGUUAACGGGUAGCGGAACCCCUAUGGACUC